UGGCUCUCGCAUCGAUGAAGAACGCAGCGAAAUGCGAUAAGUAAUGUGAAUUGCAGAAUUCAGUGAAUCAUCGAAUCUUUGAACGCAUCUUGCGCUCCUUGGUAUUCCGAGGAGCAUGCCUGUUUGAGUGUCAUUAAAUUCUCAACCUUACUAGCUUUAUUAGCAUGUAUGGCUUGGAUAUGGGGGAUUUGCAGGCUUUUACAAGUCAGCUCCUCUAAAAUACAUUAGCAGUGCCUCUGUGGUUAACGGCUAUUGGUGUGAUAAUUAUCUAUGCCAUUUUAAUCGUCCACAUUAUGAGUUACACCGCUUCUAAUAGUCCAGUUGGACAACAAAUAUAAAUGACAAUUUUGACCUCAAAUCAGGUAGGACUACCCGCUGA
This 379-nucleotide unclassified non-coding RNA is filed under the name uncultured fungus. Its description in RNAcentral is "partial contains 5.8S ribosomal RNA and internal transcribed spacer 2". The stretch from base 1 to 133 matches the Rfam family "5.8S ribosomal RNA", at positions 22 to 154 of the family's 154-position model. The record is from RNAcentral. Lineage: Eukaryota; Fungi.